Molecule: long non-coding RNA, 1268 nt
Organism: Microplitis demolitor
Lineage: Eukaryota; Metazoa; Arthropoda; Insecta; Hymenoptera; Braconidae
Exons: 3
Source: RefSeq, a predicted model, not a curated record
GUUGAUGAAAGUUUAAUUUGCUGAAAAUGAUUAAAUUUAUACUACUUUGAAGGAGAAUUUUUCAAAUUUAUCUACAGAAGUAGCUGGGAAAUACUUCUAUUGAUUAAUUUAUUGAAAUUAUUGACUACUAGGCUAGCCGAAAAAAUAAUUUUUGUGAUUACAGUGAGUACCAGAAAAGACUAAAUUUUCUAAAAUUUAGGACAUUUUGAGUGCUUAGUCAUUAUUAUAAAAGGCAUCAAAUUUGGAAAACAAGAUCGAAAAUCGAUCUGGAAUCCAUACGGAUUGAUCAAACAAAAAUGGCCUUGUCUUUAAAAAACUAAGAUCAAUGUAACGUUAGAAAAAAUGUAGUUGAUCGUGAAUUGACACCAUCCGUCGAAUACACACGCAUAUCAGUUCUUGAAAAUACUCCAAGAACUUCACUAUCAUCUGGAUCAAAGACAAAUUCAUCAUCUCUACAACACACACCUAGAUCAGUUCAUGAAAGUACUCCAAAAACUCUACUAUUACCUGGUUCAAGGAUAAGCUUAUCAUCUCUACAACAUAUUCACAGAUCAAUUUAUGAAAAUACUCCAAGAACUCCACUAUCAUCUGGAUCAAGGAUAAGCUUAUCAUCUCUACAACAUACUCGCAGAUCAGUUCAUGAAAGCUGACUACUUGCUUCAAGUUCACAACAAUCUGCACCACAACAUUUCAAUAAUGCUCGAAGCUCGUCAUCUGAAUCUGGAGAUUCCUACAGUUCAAUUCAGUCUUCUCGGUCCUCAAGUCCCAGGAGUUCAAGUGAUUUCGAUGACAUAGUAAAUACGUCGCAAUUACAACAACGCUUGAAAUUAUUCCGAAAAAAAUAGUCUCGGACGUAAAAAAGGUUCUCCUCAAAAAUAAUCGGGCGGCCAUCAACUAACAAUAACGGGAAAGUCGAAAUUGAAGGAAUUCCUUUAGAUGUCAAAAGCUUUUUAAGAGCUUUGUCGGCAAAGAAAAUGAGCCUGCGUGCAAGAAGCUUAAUGCGAACCUAUUAGACAGAAAAUGAACGCGAUAGACUGAUUACUCGAAAAAAUAAAAAAUUUUUUAAUGCUCUAUUUGUCAGUUCUCGAAAUUAUAAUGAUUUCAUCAACCUUUGUUAUGCUCUACAAAGAACAAAAUUUUUGAAGCAUACAAAGAAACAUAACCCUGAACAUAAUAUCUACCAAUGGGUCACCGAUUUUCUUAAAAACGAUCGAUUUACUCGAAAAAAGUUGAACGAGAAGUCUGAAAUAUUUCCCAACAGGCAGCGA